This 435-nucleotide ribosomal RNA is filed under the name uncultured Saccharofermentans sp. RNAcentral's name for it is "bacterial SSU rRNA". It matches the Rfam family "Bacterial small subunit ribosomal RNA", at positions 341 to 792 of the family's 1533-position model. The record is from RNAcentral. Lineage: Bacteria; Bacillati; Bacillota; Clostridia; Eubacteriales; Oscillospiraceae.
ACGGGAGGCAGCAGUGGGGAAUAUUGGGCAAUGGGCGCAAGCCUGACCCAGCAACGCCGCGUGAAGGAUGAAGGUCUUCGGAUUGUAAACUUCUUUAAUUGGGGAAGAAAAAAUGACCUACCCAAAGAAUAAGCCACGGCUAACUACGUGCCAGCAGCCGCGGUAAUACGUAGGUGGCAAGCGUUAUCCGGAUUUACUGGGUGUAAAGGGCGUGUAGGCGGCUUUGCAAGUCAGAAGUGAAAUUCCCGAGCUCAACUUGGGCGCUGCUUCUGAAACUGCAAAACUUGAGUACUGGAGGGGAAAGCGGAAUUCCUAGUGUAGCGGCAAAAUGCGCAGAUAUUAGGAGGAACACCGGUGGCGAAGGCGGCUUUCUGGACAGUAACUGACGCUGAGGCGCGAAAGCGUGGGGAGCAAACAGGAUUAGAUACCCUGGUA